Molecule: RNA transcript, 2853 nt
Organism: Calliphora vicina (urban bluebottle blowfly)
Lineage: Eukaryota; Metazoa; Arthropoda; Insecta; Diptera; Calliphoridae
Gene: Ttd14
Gene name: TRPL translocation defect 14
Exons: 12
Source: RefSeq, a predicted model, not a curated record
AGAAUUCGUUAAAGUAGUACAUAAUUUCUUUUAAGUCCGGAAUCGUAACAUAGUGUCACCACCAAUGUCUCGCAGUGAAAAGUGGUUUUGGAUUUGUGAUGAAAAAUAUCAGAAAACUUUAAUAAUAAAAUGUUUUUAUCACAGUUAAAAAACUGACAAAAAUAAAUUGCAAAAUUCGUUGCCGUUCACGUAACGAAAUAAUGCAUCUGUGAGAGUGUGUUAGUGGAUAUAUUUUUUUGUUAUUACAUGUGCUCCAUGCGGUAUAAUAUUUUUUCUGGUUUUGGCAAACAUAUCUAACAAAAAAAAAAAAAUAUAAUAAAAAGUAAAAUUCAAUAAAUAAAAAAGUUUUAAAGUUUGCGUAAAGUAAAAAUAAAAUCGAAAAAUCAAUCCUUCCUCUACGUAACUUACUAACCUUAAAAACACUUAAAAUAUACGGGCAAACAAACCCCAUUCUAAGUAUACAAUCAACACAACAAACAGAUCCGAAAAGGAAAUAUCGGCAAUUGAAGCUGACCACCUUUUGCAAUUGGUAUCUAAAAUAAAUAAAAAAGGAUAAUGGAUACGUCCUCUGCUAUUAAAGAGGAAUCUAAGAUAAUGGAGAAUCACGAAAUUGAUAGUAUUUCGAAUACUCCUGCGGUUGCAGCACCACUAGUGGAUAUACCUCGUCUCAAGCUGAAGAAAAUGAACAAUGACCAUCAUGAGAAACGAGUGUAUAAAAUUGUACUUACUGGAGGUCCUUGUGGCGGAAAGACAACUGGACAGUCACGUUUAUGUACUUUUUUUGAAAAUCUGGGUUGGAAGGUAUUUCGUGUGCCUGAAACUGCAACUGUACUUCUCAGUGGAGGAGUUAAAUUUUCAGAUCUGACAGAGAAAGAAGCACCACCAACACCAUCCACAUUUAAGUAUAAAAAUCUUCCCUUUGCCGCUCCGGAACAUAGUCUUAUCGAUUUGACCGCAUCCUGUCCACGUUGCUUGGCGAAUGCUGCCUCUAAGCCCAAUGGCAGCGAAGCGUAUAAGUUUCAAGAAAAUCUUAUCCGUACCAUGAUUCAAAUAGAGAAUACUUAUUUUGAAUUGGGAAAGUCAAGUUCACGUAACUGCUUGAUUAUCUGUGAUCGUGGUGUUAUGGACGCAAGUGCUUAUAUUUCUAAGGAAAAGUGGGAGAAAAUGAUGGCUUCAAAUAAUUGGAAUCCAAUUGAAAUGCGUGAUAAUCGUUAUAAUCAAAUAUUGCAUUUGGUAUCAGCUGCCAAUGGUGCAGAAGAAUUCUACUCAACAGAGGAACAUGCUUGUCGGUCAGAAGGUGUUGGUUUGGCUCGUGAACUUGACUACAAGUCUGCUGCUGCUUGGGUGGGUCACCCAUACUUUGAUGUUAUUGAUAAUUCUACAAAUUUCGAAACAAAAAUGAAUCGAAUGAUUGAGUCUGUUUGUCAAAAGUUAGGUAUUGACAUUGGUGAUCGUUUGUUAGCAACGUCGAGAAAACUUAAAUUCCUGGUUGCUUCAUUGCCUCCGGACUCGGAAUUUCCACCUUUCCAAGAUUUCGAGGUUGAACAUCAUUAUUUGCAAUCAUCUGGACCUAAAGUCCAAGCUCGUCUUCGCAAACGUGGCCAAAAAAGUCAUUACAGCUAUAUACACACUAUUCGCCGUCCCAAUGUACACGGUCAGUCUCGUAUUGAAGUAAAGACUCAAUUAACACAACGUGACUACAUAAAUCUUUUGGCUCAGCGUGAUGAUGCCCAUUUUACAAUUUAUAAGAAACGUAGAUGCUUUUUAGUAAAUAAUCAAUAUUUCCAGUUGGAUAUAUAUAAAGAACCAACUCACCCCAGAUGCAAAGGUUUGAUACUUUUGGAAACGUAUUCUUCAUUAUCUGGAGAGGCUUUAAUGAAUUGUAUGCCAAAGUUCUUAAAUAUAGUCAAAGAGGUUACCGGUGAUGCCGAUUACUCCAUGUUUAAUUUGUCUUUGAAAGAAGAUUGGAGUAUAACAAAAAAAUUUUGCCAUUCAUUGUAUGAUGUUAAUACAAUUAAAAUAUAAUCUUCAUGGAAUAUUUAAAAGACAUUGAUGAGCAAUUGCUGUUGAUCAGAACUGAUAUAUAAAAUUCAGAGGAGUGUUCCGGCUACAAAGCAAAACAAGCAAAUGGAGUUUCGAAUAAACAAUUGGUUCUGAAUGGUCAUGCCAAGGGUUAGUUUAAAUUUAUCUAAAAAUAAAAUCUUUAAACAAUUUAUAUUUUAUAAGACUUUUCAAUGAACUUGACAUGAACCAAGUUUAAGGCAUACAUACAUUUUUAGUAUAUACUCAGUUUUAAGAUUGUGCAAUUGUUGAAUUGUUUUGGUUCAUGUCGAAAGUUACUUUUUAUAAAAAAAUUGGACUAGUUUAGAAAUCUCUCUUUUUGAAUCGUGUAUUUUUAUUUAAUAAAUUUAUAUUUGUACUACUAAAUUAAUACUGCAUAUGUGGACCAGCUUUAAAUUAUUAUAUAAAUAUUUUCAAUUUUUUUUUUAUAAUUAUACCUUUCGUUUUAUUGUAGCCGUAUUAAUGAAAUUCUGUAAAAGAAAUUUUUUUUUUAAUUUGCCUUUGUACUUAAUUAUGGAUAUAUUUUAAAUUUGUUGCCUGUUUAAUUAUAUACAUUUUAUAGCGAUAAUUUAAAGUUUGUUUUACUUAAAAUUUUCAUAAUAGAAAUAUUUAAAUAUAUAAAAUUAUGAUAACGUUAACUAAAUUAAAUUUAUUAUAAACAAAAGAAAGAAGCUGAAAAUACAAUUGUAAUUUAUAAGUCCUAUAUUUUAGAAAAUCUAUUAUUUUAUUAGUAAUAAACAACUUAAAUCCUAAAAAGAUGCUAAAAUCAAUAAAUAAAUAAAUAAAUAAAUA